This 270-nucleotide ribosomal RNA is filed under the name Triticum aestivum (bread wheat). RNAcentral describes it as "partial small subunit ribosomal RNA". The record is from RNAcentral. Lineage: Eukaryota; Viridiplantae; Streptophyta; Magnoliopsida; Poales; Poaceae.
AUAACUGUCAACCAUGUGGCAGAUUGCAAAAAGUACCGCACCUCCCAAACGAACCCCCUCCUUCAAUCCGAUUUUCUCCUCCCCGCACACGAGGUUGCGUGCUCUCCCCGGUUUUCUGGGUCGCUGCACCCGCACUAUCAGUAGUUUAAAAAAAGGCAAAACACAGGCCUUACAAGGAAAUUGGGGCCUCCUAGGAUCGCAAUUCCUGACGCUUCAGGCGCUAAAAGGUAAUCUUUAUGUCUCGCUUAUAACGAGACGUAGGGAAGGCUC